This 6049-nucleotide long non-coding RNA is filed under the name Lynx pardinus (Iberian lynx). Lineage: Eukaryota; Metazoa; Chordata; Mammalia; Carnivora; Felidae. The record is from RNAcentral.
GUCCCCUACAUCCAGUGUUUUGGGGCCUUAAAAAAAUGAGGUACGUGUAAGCACUGUAAGGUCGAUCCUGGCCUGUUGGCAGCCGUUUCCGAGGGCUCACGACCAAGAAGGGAGGGACCUAAGGCCCUGCCUGUACCCACAGCAAACCCAGAGAGAGGAAGGAACGUCUCCUACCUCGGUCUCCUCAUCGGGUGCUCAACGUCCAGACUCACAAACAUGCGCUUCUCCCUGCCGCCCACCUUAGCCAGGCCCUGCCCGUAACGUGGCCGACAUGUGUCCCCUACAAGAAGCUGGGGUGCAGGAAGGGGGACGCGGGGAGGCACGGCCAUGGUAAGAUUACCAGCACUUUUUUCAUUACGGGAUUUAAGACAGAUAAAAGGAGAUCUAGGUGAAUUUUCUGAUGAUCCAGAGAAGUAUACAGAGGCUUUUCCGAACGUUACAGUAGGUAUGAGUUGACGUGGAAAGAUACAAUGCUAUUGUUGAAUCAGACUCUUUAAAAAAAUUUUUUUUAAUGUUUAUUUUUGAGAGAGACAGAGUGUGAGUGGGGGAGGGCAGAGAGAGAGGGAGACACAGAAUUGGAAGCAGGCUCCAGGCUCCGAGCCGUCGGCACCGAGCCCGACAUGGGGCUCGAACCCGCGAACUGCGAGAUCAUGAUCUGGGCUGAAGUCGGACGCUCAACCGACUGAGCCACCAGGCGCCCCUGUUGAAUCAGACGCUUUUUUAAAAAUUUUCUUUUGAUGUUUAUUUUUGAGAGAGAGGAAAUCAGACUGUUAUUGAGACAGAAGCGUGGGGUUCUGGCAGUGGCUGGAAGAAAUGGGGACGAGCAACUCGUUAAUUAUCAUGGGACUGGAGGGGCCUAUAGGGGACUUUUAGUUCCCUACUGGGGGGCUCAGGCAUCCCCCCUGCCCCCCAGGAUCCUAAUUGGGAGUAUGACCAUCCCAUUGGGGACUGGUGUCACCAUUUCCAAGCCUGUAUUUUGGAAGGAUUAAGAAGUAAGGUUAAGCCCUUAAAUUAUGCUAAAUUAGCCACUAUCUCAAGACACAGGAUGACAGCCUGGUGGCCUUCCUGGAAAGGUUAAGGGAGGGUGUCAUUAAAUAUACGGCUAUCUUCCUUAACACCUUGAGGCCAAGACGUUUCUGAAGGGCAGAUUUUUCACUCAAUCAGCCCCAGAUAGUCGAUGGAAGCUACAAAAAUUGGCUGUUGGCCCGGAAGGGACCCUGGAAGCUCUUACGAACUAUCGGGUAUGUUACAACUAAGAUAAAGAGGAGAAUGAAGAACCGGAAAGGAGGCUUAAAAACAACAAAACCGAGGCCUUUGCCGUGGCCUUACGUACUGUGUCAGACCAGACUUCCCGAGGCCCUGGCACCAAGCGCCAUUUAUGUGGCUGUUAGGGCGCCGGAAACGAGAAUAUCCUCAGAGGGGACAACACAAGUUGAAGCCCCUCAAUCUGCCAGGGCUCAGGUAACCAGUGUCCCCGAAAGGGCUCUCAAACCUACCGCCUGUUGGAAGCUCAGAGCCUCGGUAGCUCUGGGAACAGAGGGAAAACCGAUUGAUUUCCUUCUUGACCGCGGAGCCACCUGGUCUGUCCUUUCCGCUCCUGGCCGAGCGUCCAAACGCAACGUAAGGACUAGAGGCGUCUCCGGAAAACUGAGGACUAAAUUUUUCUCUCAGCCACAGGGGUGCAUGUGGGGAGGCCUGGUUUUUUCACAUUCUUUUUCACAAUGCCAGAGAGCCCCCCCCGCCACCCCUCCUUUGCUGGGAGGGACAUUACGACUGAAUGAGGGACUAGGGUGAUACUGGCCCCAGGACACAUGAACAGUUGCCUGAACUUACAGUAAUCUGGACGCCGAAGGUCAGUCUCCCCUUGAGGUAAAAUUCUGCCUCAUGGAGUUGUUCCCAUGGAAACUGGAUGGCCAGAGGAUGGAGAGCCAUGAACUGGUUCAGGAGCUUAAUCAUUCUAAUCAGCCAUAACACAAGAUGCAAAAACAUGGAGGAGGGAGGAAGAACUAUGGUUAAAUUGCCAACAAUAGGACCAGACACGUCGGGGACUCUGGAUGGCUACCGUGUGCGUGUCUUCCCUUGGCGUGACCCCCUCCCUAGGAGGCAUCGCAUUUGGAAAUACUAUUGCUUGCUGGUCUAAUACUCUGUUUGUAGGUCAUUUGUAGAAGCUGUUGCACAUACCAGGAGAAUAAGACCUCCAAGAAACUUCCCCUAGCCCUGACGUUCCAAACACCCUCCCAUCACGUCCGCCUCCGGAUGGACCUCUGGGCCUGCCCUGACUGCCAUUCCCCUGUUCCCGCUCCCCUUCGGGAAGCGGUGAAGGUGGGGGGUCAUCCGGGUCCCUAAUGGUAGUCGGGAGUCACGUGUUCAGAGGGGGGUAGGGAAAGACAGGGUUACAUAGGCAGAGAGGGAAAGGUUAGGACCUGAGGCCACUGGGUGGGAAAAGCACAAGUAUUUUGGAACAGUGCUGGGAGCUGCUGACCACAGCGAACGCCCUGGGGCGUGAGGUUCCUAAGAAUGCGACAGAGCCCACCUACUCCCCUUCCGGUUUCCCUCAGGAACUUGACAAAAGACUUAAGUGUGGCCAUAGACCGCCCCCCACACGAUGGAGUCAGGCCCAUCGGGAGCGGACAGUCCAGCACCCGGAGCUACCAAGCCAACAAGGGUAGGACCUGACAAGGGACAAGGGGGAAGGAGGGGGAGGGCGACCAGAACCUUAUAAAACAAGGACUCUUGCCUAGAGGCCCCGGGAUUCACUUGCAGACGUCCCCCUCUGUACAGAGAGCUUUCCUGCCAUGCUUCCUUUCUGAUCCGAUACUCUGAUACGCUUCUCAGCUGCUCGUUUUAUUGUGUCCCCCUCUUCAUUCUUCAAAGCAGUGAGACCACAAACCCGGGUUUUGAGGUAAAAAAAGAUCCUCCAACACUAGGAUGAAGUUCUUGGGUGAGCUUGCAAAGUCGUUUCCCCAGAUAUUUUGGGAACCCGGAACCUUUUUUUUUUUUAAUUUUUUUUUUUUCAACGUUUAUUUAUUUUUGGGACAGAGAGAGACAGAGCAUGAACGGGGGAGGGGCAGAGAGAGAGGGAGACACAGAAUCGGAAACAGGCUCCAGGCUCUGAGCCAUCAGCCCAGAGCCCGACGCGGGGCUCGAACUCCCGGACCGCGAGAUCGUGACCUGGCUGAAGUCAGACGCUUAACCGACUGCGCCACCCAGGCGCCCCUGGAACCCGGAACCUUAAAGCAUCUUCCUUGAGCAUCUGGGUCAUGACUGAAACUAACUGCUGAGCUCAGGUAUCUCCUUUCACCCCACCCCCCAAAGGAAACCAACGGAUCUUUGGGCCUAUUAGUAAACAUGUUUUCCACAUUAACCAAAACUGCACGACGAGGAAGCCUGUGUCUCUAGAAAUUGGAAAAUCGGAAUAUGUUUUAUGAUCUAGAGAAUGCUCCUGUGACGGUUCACAAUUGCUUGUUGGCUUUCACUAGACAUUAAGGGUUUCUAGGGCUUAAAAAUUCUGAUGGAAGCCACUAGAAAUAAUAAGGAAACCUCUCCGUAUGCACGGAAAGUGUGAUUUUGUAAAAAGGAGGGUCGGAGGAGUGGUGAUGUGCUUUUGUCAAGGACAAAGAAACUUGUAGGUUUGUGGAGAAGGAGGCUUUGGAGAGAAAUUUUAACGUGUGGCCAAGCUGGCUAAGAUCACAAUUAAAUUUUAAUAUCAAAAGUAAGUGGCACAAAAUUGGUUUUUGCUCUGAAAAACGACGUUUUCUUGAACUUCAGGUUUGCUGUUGACAACAGCUGAUAAAAGUUUCUUUACUUUUUUUUUUAUUUAUUUAUUUUUUAUUUUUUUUUUCAACGUUUAUUUAUUUUUGGGACAGAGAGAGACAGAGCAUGAACGGGGGAGGGGCAGAGAGAGAGGGAGACACAGAAUCGGAAACAGGCUCCAGGCUCCGAGCCAUCAGCCCAGAGCCUGACGCGGGGCUCGAACUCAUGGACCGCGAGAUCGCGACCUGGCUGAAGUCGGACGCUUAACCGACUGCGCCACCCAGGCGCCCCUAAAGUUUCUUUACUUUUCAAGUAACCCACCAGAAAGCCAAGAUCUGGUGCCUUACCAGGUCUUUGUUUUCCGGCACUUUGACUAAAUCAGCCACUAAGUACCGUCUCACAAUGGUCUGUGACCCUCUGUAGUCAAGUGUCCAAACGUGUUGAUGUUUUCAACAGACUUACCCAAAUCGAAGUCUAAAUAAGGCCUUUACUGACCUCAAACUAAGUUUUGAGAAUUUCCAGAGGGUCCCUGAACAUCUCCAAAGGUUUAUUCUCACUUAAACAAAGAAUGAUGUUCUGCUAAUUAGGUUUAUUCGAUCGUGUUAAAUUCUAUGGAAAGCAUGUGAAAUACAUGAUGAUAACCCACUGUGUCGGUAAAUAUUAAUGUUCUGCAAGUUCUGAGAUCCCCACACACCUAGAAUAUCCUGGAUAGCAUCACCAGUCAUAACCGCAGUUCUCUCCGAAUGUUACGUUCAGAAAUAAUCAAGUCGCUCUGUCGGUUCCGCGUCACGGACUCCCGUCGGAUCCCUGACAUCGGGAGUCUUGUCGUUGCACUUUGGUGCCCUGCCAGUGUCCUGCGAAGGCACCUCCCUCCAAGGAGUCACGGAAAGGACUGACAGGUAGGACCUGACAUCGUGAAAGUGAGCGGGAUGAGAAAUUCUAGAACUAAUAACGAGGAAUGGAUUCAAGCAGAACGAGUAUUAGAUGGAACCGAAUGGAUUCAGAACUCUAAUUUUACGACUUCUGCUUUGAAACACUGGUUUUUACCUUUUUCCAAACUUAAGAAAGCCUUCUCUUUUCUCAUGGGAUCAGCAAUUUAAGAUAUUGCUUUGUGAACAAAGAUGAACAUUUUUCUCCCUCUUUGGCCCCUCCAGAAUUUGCAAACUUCGUAUUCUUGUGCAAGUGUACUGCCACUCAAAUGAGUGAUUUAGGAAUCAUGAUUGGGAAUGUUGGUUAUAUUACCAGGCUCUGACCACAAGGUCUUAUUUGAGGGAGAUGUAAAGACUCCGGGAUGAUCGGCUUUCAGGAACUAAGGCUGACCUUAAUGGAGCCUAUGAGGGCCUUACUUACAGGGUUCCUGGCGGCCUGACCCGGUGAGGAGGGAAGGUUGCUUCUUGGCAGGCCCAAGAAUCUCAGGAAAUGUUUGGAACCUUGAGAAGAGAGGAGUUCACCCAAAUCUGUAUGUAUUGCAGGCAAAGUCUGAUGAUGGCUCCUUAGCGCGGCUUCUCAGCCUGGAGAGUCUUUCAAAGUUCACGGGAGAUUCCUUAUGGAAAGUCUGAGCCAAGUGGACUUAAAAGUCUGUAUGGUGAGCACUCUUCUUCUGCACUUAUGUAAAUAACAAGGCCAAGGUACUGAAACUGUGAAAACAGAGUUAAUCUUGCUGUGAAUGUGGGGGUGACUGUAGAGAGAAAUUACGUUUCAGUAACAUGCCUUCGUGGACAGCAGAUUCUAGUGCCGUGAACGGCCCGUGAGGUUUUGCUUUUACCUGUAAACUGGACUAGAUCCCGAGUUCUUCUAUUUUCUUCCUAUAUUUGGCUGCAGCUCUCCAAACUGGCAUUUCCAGUUCACCCCCUCCCCGCCACCAGUCCUUCUGACUCGGAAUCGUUGAGAACCACGACUGCCCUUUCCCUGAAGCCGUGCGGGUUACAGCCGGACACCGUCACGUGAAGUUCAGAGAAACCACAACAGCUCACGUGUGGGUAACUGCCGUGCCUGCUGCUGUGCGGGCCACUCGGAGAGCUCGCCACACGGCCUCCCUGCAGGCCAGGCCCGUCUGUCUCGUUUCCACCGUCUGCUCCACCCCACCUGAAGAUGCCGCAAGCCGGGCCUCCGGACGUCUGCGCGCCUGGCUGCCUCCGGAACUCACCGAGACCGGAUCUGCUCCCCAGAUUAACCUUCGUUUUUUGUCUCCCCAGAAAUGCCUCUUAUUAAGUAUCUGAUGACUUGCCCCCAGACCUAACUCGGGAGCCUCCUGAAACGGAGCCGGCUGCUUAACUGAACGGCCCUGUCGGCAGGA